UACGUAGGUGGCGAGCGUUGUCCGGAUUUAUUGGGCGUAAAGAGCUCGUAGGCGGUCUGUCGCGUCGGAUGUGAAAACCCAGGGCUCAACCCUGGGCCUGCAUUCGAUACGGGCAGACUAGAGUACGGCAGGGGAGACUGGAAUUCCUGGUGUAGCGGUGAAAUGCGCAGAUAUCAGGAGGAACACCGGUGGCGAAGGCGGGUCUCUGGGCCGUAACUGACGCUGAGGAGCGAAAGCGUGGGGAGCGAACAGG
Molecule: ribosomal RNA, 253 nt
Filed under: uncultured bacterium
Lineage: Bacteria
Description: partial 16S ribosomal RNA
Rfam family: Bacterial small subunit ribosomal RNA
Source: RNAcentral